This 1973-nucleotide long non-coding RNA is filed under the name Homo sapiens (human). RNAcentral's name for it is "non-protein coding lnc-MTBP-6:1". Lineage: Eukaryota; Metazoa; Chordata; Mammalia; Primates; Hominidae. The record is from RNAcentral.
CAAGGAAGUACAUUGUAACAAUUUUUUAAUAAUAGUAAGAGUAUGGAAACAAUUAUGAUGCAUAUGGUAUUCCCUAAUACCAGGGGAACAUUUUCUAAAAUGUCCAAAUGAUAUUGAGCAAAGCAAGAAGCAGCCAGGUGAGUUCUGGGUGUUCCAGAUAACUUGUCCUGGCUGGCAGUAGACUCUAAGGGGUAUGCUGUUAGAGGAAAGCUGAUUUUGCAGGGGCUUUUGGCCUAGCAGUCAUUUGCAGACUCUUUUCAUAUUAAAAUUGGAAGGAGAUUUACCAGUUUUGCCAACAAAGUUCCUCAUGCAAAAAUGGAAAGACAAGAGGCCCACAAACUUUUUGCUUGUUGAAGACGUUUGAAAUGUCUGAGAUUGCAUCUUGCUAGUCUGACACGUGCACCACUGAAGGUUCAGACCGUAACAACAAGGUCUAUUUCUUUUAUAUUGAGAUAGUUGCCACAUUGAUAGACCAAAUUAGGUGGGCAUCCUGAGAAAAUGAUGGAGAUAGCUUAAAUUUGAUAUGCCUUAGGAAAGGUGGGUCAAUAUAAAUCUCAUUGAAUAUUCAUUCACUCAUUCAAUUAUUCAUUUAUACAAUCUGUGUUUGUUGAGCCAAGUACUACACUAGCUAUUGGAGAUAGGGUAAAAAAACAAAGAAGCCAUUGUCUAAAUCUGUGGUUUUUUUAUAGUGCUUCUUUCAGCUUCAUUGGUUAAAACAUCCAUUUAUGCUUUUUUUCUCCUUGUAUUUUCUAUUCUUACCUCUUGUACCAUAUCUUGCUUCCGGUAUCUGGUAGAAGCCAGAGCCUUAGUAAAAGCAACCUCGAGUCAAUAACUCUUUUUGUCUUUUGUGAAAUCCUAUGUGUAUUUAAAAAGAUCAUGUCCCAGAGAGAGAGAUGAAACAGUGAAGUCUUUGAGGGCAAAGAAAUGGAGAGAAAUUCCUUUGAAUGGAAAAGAGGAGAAAGAUUUAUGUGUUUCCAGACUAGCAUAGAUGUGUAUACUAUAUACUGCUAUGUGGCUCCCUGUAUCCUGAAGAGGAUACAGAACUCAGAAGUUAAGACUAUAAUGAGUGCCUGGGGAGGUGGGACCUGUAUCAUGAAGGUAUCCAGCCUUAGAAAGUGUUUCCUGACACUUGAGUGGCACAGGAGUUAAUAAACAUGAGAGGCUGGAGCUCAGAGGCUUGGACUCUGAGAUAUCAAUGGUCAUCACAUAAAGAUUAGAAGGCCAUAUCUUUUCUUUUUUUUAAAAGAAAGGUCAUAUAUAUAGAAAUUCUUAAAUUUUAUUUAGUCCAGUAUUGACCAUUGGACCUUCCAACCCCCUCUCUCUCUCCUGUCCCACUCCCCUUUUUUUCUUUUUCUUUUUCUUUUCCUUUUUUUUUUUUUUUUUUGAGACCAGGUCUCAUUCUGUCUGCCAGGCUGGAGUGCAGUGGCGAGAUCAUGGCUCAUUGCAGCCUUGACCUCCCCAGGCUCGAGGGAUCUUUCCACCUCAGCCUCCCUAGUAGCGCAAAAUACCUGUAGUAGCUAAGAUGUAGGAUAAGAUCAGGUUUUGGGUAAGAUGAAAUGGAGCUAAAAUUUCAAGUUUGACACAGGUCACGUUUGGGAUUAUUGUUUUUGGAUUAUUGGAAAAGAAGUAGUACCACAGAUUUGCCAGAACCUAAUGUCUGCCUGGCUUAAUUCAAACAGUUGGUAGUUAUUGAUUGCUGGGGAAAAGUGGAGAAUAGAGGAAUGGAAAAAGAGAGGAAGGAAAAGUAGGUGGUAAGUACAAGGUCCACUCAGCUACAGAGUCCAUCUUCUUCCUGUAACACCUCACUGAACCUACUAGCCUUUAUCAUGCAAGUCAUUGAAUCUCUUGAAUCUUAUUAAUAGUUUUUUAUCUGUAAAAUGGGAGUGAUGGUAUCUUUUUCAGCUACUUUGCAAGGUUGUUUUAAGGCUAAACAGAAAAAGAUAGAACAUAUACAGGGUUCACUAUGAGUAAGA